UAGGGAAUCUUCCGCAAUGGACGAAAGUCUGACGGAGCAACGCCGCGUGAGCGAAGAAGGUCUUCGGAUCGUAAAGCUCUGUUGUUAGGGAAGAACAAGUAUCGGAGGAAAUGCCGGUACCUUGACGGUACCUGACGAGAAAGCCACGGCUAACUACGUGCCAGCAGCCGCGGUAAUACGUAGGUGGCAAGCGUUGUCCGGAAUUAUUGGGCGUAAAGCGCGCGCAGGCGGUCCUUUAAGUCUGAUGUGAAAUCUUGCGGCUCAACCGCAAGCGGUCAUUGGAAACUGGGGGACUUGAGUGCAGAAGAGGAAAGCGGAAUUCCACGUGUAGCGGUGAAAUGCGUAGAGAUGUGGAGGAACACCAGUGGCGAAGGCGGCUUUCUGGUCUGUAACUGACGCUGAGGCGCGAAAGCGUGGGGAGCAAACA
RNAcentral lists this ribosomal RNA (427 nucleotides) under uncultured bacterium. RNAcentral describes it as "bacterial SSU rRNA". It matches the Rfam family "Bacterial small subunit ribosomal RNA", at positions 355 to 774 of the family's 1533-position model. RNAcentral also lists the same sequence under 2 other names. The record is from RNAcentral.